AAAGUUACUCAAGCGCACACAAAGGAUGCCUUGACGUAAGAUACCGAUGAAGGACGUAGAAAACUGCGAUAAGCUUCGGGGAGCUGUUAAUCAAGCUUUGAACCGAAGAUUUCCGAAUGGGGAAACCUAGUUAGAGUAAUGUCUAAUUGCGCCAGCCUGAAUAUAUAGGGCAGGAGAGCGGUAACCGGGGGAACUGAAACAUCUUAGUACCCCGAGGAAGAGAAAGUAAACAACGAUUCCGGGAGUAGUGGCGAGCGAAACUGGAAUAGCCCAAACCUUUUUCAUUUCCAUCUGGUAAUUUAUUGCCGUUUGGAUAAGUUGGUAGACGAAUAUGAAAACAGGGGUUGUGACACUACAAACAUACCAUGCAGAUGAUUUGAGCAAUCGAAUCCUCUGUAUGGCUAGCAUGAUCUACCACUGUCAUGCCUAAGGUUUAAGAAAAUUGCUGAGCGAGCAGAAGGAAUUGGAAAGUUCCGCCAGAGACGGUGAAAGCCCGGUAUGCCAAGUUUCAGCAAACCUUAGAUUUGUAGGUGUACGUACUUAAGCUUCGGCUUGAGUGUGGACACAUAUGUCGAGUAGGUCGGGACACGUGAAACCCUGACUGAAUCUGGGGGGACCACCCUCCAAGGCUAAAUAUAUCUUACGAUCGAUAGUGAACAAGUACCGUGAGGGAAAGGCGAAAAGAACCCCGGAAGGGGAGUGAAAUAGAACCUGAAAUUGUGUGCGUACAAGGAGUCGGAGCCCUUCGGGGUGACGGCGUGCUUUUUGUAGAACGAUCCAACGAGUUACUGAUAUGUGCGAGCCUAAGUCAUUUGACGGAGGCACAGUGAAAGCGAGGCUGAAUAGGCCGAAAUAGUACAUAUUAGUAGACCCGAAACCAGGUGACCUAACCAUGGGCAGGCUGAAGCGCAGGUAAAACUGCGUGGAGGGCCGAACCGUAGCACGUUGCAACAUGCCCGGAUGACCUGUGGUUAGCGGUGAAAUGCCAAUCGAACCUGGAGAUAGCUGGUUCUCCUCGAAAUAGCUUUAGGGCUAGCGUCGUACGGUAACAUAUGGGGGUAGAGCUCUGUUUCGGACUGGGGGUCGUAAGAUUACCCACCCUUGACAAACUACGAAUACCAUAUGCGGAACUACGGCAGUUAGAACGUGGGGGCUAAGCUCCACGCUCAAAAGGGAAACAGCCCAGAUCGCCAGCUAAGGUCCCUAAAUAUACGCUCAGUGGGAAACGAGGUGAGAUUUCUCGAACAACUAGGAUGUUGGCUUAGAAGCAGCCAUUCAUUUAAAGAGUGCGUAACAGCUCACUAGUCAAGAGAUCUUGCGCGGAAAAUGUAACGGGGCUAAGCGUAUUACCGAAGCUGCGAGCUCGAUUUAUCGAGCGGUAGAGGAGCGUUGAUAUCUGCGUUGAAGUCGAACUGCGAGGUUCGGUGGAGCGUUAUCAAGUGAGAAUGUUGGAAUGAGUAACCAUAAGGCAAGUGAGAAUCUUGCCCGCCGAAAGAGCGAGGUUUCCUGGGCCACGAUAAUCGUCCCAGGGUUAGUCGGUCCUAAGCCGAGGCGCGUAGCGUAGGCGAUGGACAACGGGUUAAUAUUCCCGUACUAGCUUUGUAUUGUAUGGAGUGCGCAUCAUGUUAGUAGGAGCGGGUUCAUGGUUAUAUCCGUCUAAGCAGUGUAACAACUGCGAAUGAAAGGACCUUUUGGUCUGAUUCCUGCGAGAGUGGUGACUAGAAAAGCUUCCAUGCUUAUGUACAAGGUUAUCCGUACCGCAAACCGACACAGGUGCUCAGGUCGAGAAGACCAAGGCGUACGAGUGAAUCUUCGUUAAGGAACUCGGCAAUACAGCGACCGUAACUUCGGGAUAAGGUCUGCCCCGUCACUCUGUCUAUGACAGCGUGACUGCCAGUUUUCUUUUCAGGAAACAAACAGAACUGAAUGUAAGUUUUUAACUUCUUACAGACAGCCUGUAUAAACGAGUAAAAUUGAGAAUAUUUCCUUCUAUGUGAAAUAGAAAAAGAAAGCUAGCCCAGUCUAAUAGCGCUAUCGUGGUAGAUAGUGUGACGGGGCCGCAGCUAAGGAACCCAUGGAACUGUUUACCAAAAACACAGGUCUCUGCUAACACGAAAGUGGAUGUAUAGGGGCUGACUCCUGCCCAGUGCUGGAAGGUUAAGGGGAUUGCUUCACGGCAUGAACUGAAGCCCCAGUGAACGGCGGCGGUAACUAUAACCGUCCUAAGGUAGCGAAAUUCCUUGUC
RNAcentral lists this ribosomal RNA (2245 nucleotides) under Candidatus Saccharimonadota bacterium. Its description in RNAcentral is "Candidatus Saccharibacteria bacterium partial 23S ribosomal RNA". It matches the Rfam family "Bacterial large subunit ribosomal RNA", at positions 1 to 1973 of the family's 2925-position model. Lineage: Bacteria; Candidatus Saccharimonadota. The record is from RNAcentral.